RNA transcript from Pyrgilauda ruficollis (rufous-necked snowfinch), 5578 nucleotides. It is a transcript of the gene named muscleblind like splicing regulator 1, with no coding region annotated. Lineage: Eukaryota; Metazoa; Chordata; Aves; Passeriformes; Passeridae. The record is from RefSeq and is a predicted model, not a curated record. The transcript is spliced from 10 exons.
GUGUGACUCUGGGGGCUGUGUCAGUGACCUGCAAAGGAGAGCGGUGGGAAAUAGGAAGAUGAUGAAGCAGCAUCUUUAGGAAGACGGGGAUGGGGCUAGUCUUCCCCUUAGCGCAGGCAGAGGAUGCUGCUGGGGGUGCAGAAUCCCUGUCGCUGGUGCUGUCAGCGUGUGCCAGGCAGUGCCACGAGGGUCCCUCUGCUCCGUCCUCCGGGCACUGCGAUCCUCAGGUGGAGACAGGACCUGUAGUUCAUUAUAGCAGAUCUGCAUUUGCAGGUGGCACCAGGCUUCUGUGGCAGAGCUGGGUCUGAGUCGCGGCGUGGAGGGGAACCCACGCAGCCCAGGUUGGUACUAAGAAGUGCCUUUCCUGACGUCGCUGCUGCUUGGGACCGCUUCUAGAGCAGCCGCUGCUUUUGCCUUGCUUGCUGCCAGCUAGACUGCGACGACAGCGCUCCGCCGCUGCCAGCCCCGCGCCCGCCGGGAGGAGGGUCCGGCGCUGCUCCCCCGCCGCCGCUGCACUGUGCACUAAAGUGUGCCGCGAAGGUCAGAGCUCUGCUGCCCGAAAGCCAAGGAGAGGAGGAGAAAAAGCCCCAGCCUAAAGCCGGUGCCGGUCGUUGCUCUAAACUGCUGCAUCUGUCUAUGCCAAACUAAUCGAUCCCGAUUGCACCGCAGAGCCCGCUGCGAGCCCGCUGCCUGGAGCCACCUGCCAGCCGCCGUCCCCGGGAGCAGCUCGGGAAUUGCUGCCGGAGCCCGCCACGUUCCCAUGCUUGCGGCGGCCGCACUCAGGACGGGAUGCUGAGCUAGUCCCGGCCCCGCUCCGCAGGCGCACCCGGCUGGCGGCCCGGCCUUGCCCAGCCCCGCUAACGGGGCCACGCUCCCGACUCUGGUGACACAGCUCUUCCUCGAGAUUGCAGCCACCCGUUUUACACGUACUUAUUUUAAAAUAGGGAGCGGGGGAAAAAAAGUGUUCUGGAGGUGGCACUUUCAUAAUUUCCAGUUUAUCAGUUUGGCUACUCGUUUGCCCAUUUUUAUUGGAAAUUUUAACUACCUGUAAAAUCUAAAGAUGGCUGUUAGCGUCACACCGAUCCGGGACACAAAAUGGCUAACGCUGGAAGUGUGUAGGGAGUUCCAAAGGGGGACUUGCUCACGACCAGACACGGAAUGUAAAUUUGCACACCCGUCGAAAAGCUGCCAAGUUGAAAACGGACGCGUAAUCGCCUGCUUUGACUCAUUGAAAGGCCGAUGUUCAAGGGAAAACUGCAAAUAUCUUCACCCACCACCACACUUAAAAACGCAGCUGGAGAUCAAUGGCCGCAAUAACCUGAUCCAGCAGAAGAACAUGGCCAUGCUGGCCCAGCAGAUGCAGCUGGCCAAUGCCAUGAUGCCCGGAGCCCCGCUGCAGCCCGUGCCAAUGUUUUCUGUUGCACCGAGCUUAGCCACCAACGCAUCAGCCGCCUUCAACCCCUACCUGGGGCCCGUGUCUCCCGGCCUGGUGCCCGCCGAGAUCCUGCCCACGGCCCCGAUGCUGGUGACAGGAAACCCCGGCGUGCCCGUUCCUGCCGCCGCCGCCGCCGCCGCCCAGAAGCUGAUGAGGACAGACAGGCUGGAGGUAUGUCGAGAGUACCAGCGUGGGAACUGCAACAGGGGAGAGAACGACUGCCGGUUCGCUCACCCUGCCGACAGCGCCAUGAUCGACACCAACGACAACACGGUCACCGUCUGCAUGGAUUACAUCAAAGGGAGGUGCUCCCGGGAAAAGUGCAAAUAUUUUCACCCUCCUGCACACCUGCAAGCCAAGAUCAAGGCUGCCCAGUACCAGGUUAACCAAGCUGCAGCUGCCCAAGCAGCAGCGACCGCAGCUGCCAUGGGAAUUCCUCAAGCUGUACUUCCCCCCUUACCAAAGAGGCCUGCGCUUGAAAAAACCAAUGGUGCCACCGCAGUCUUUAACACUGGUAUCUUCCAAUACCAGCAAGCUCUUGCCAACAUGCAGUUGCAGCAGCAUACAGCCUUUCUCCCACCAGUUCCCAUGGUGCACGGUGCUACGCCAGCCACUGUGUCUGCAGCAACAACAUCUGCCACAAGUGUUCCCUUCGCUGCAACAGCCACAGCCAACCAGGCUAAGGAUGUGGCCCUUCAUCUUCCCGGGCUGGUGUGGAAGGUCCUUGCUCUGGUCGACAGCACUGCCCCUGAUGCUGCUCCGCUCGGGUGCCGCAGCCUGUCCUGCAGCAGCAGGAAAACAUGAUACCCAUAAUAUCUGCCGAACAUCUGACUAGCCACAAGUAUGUUACACAGAUGUAGACAUUUGGUCAUCAAACAAUGGUGUCGGCGGCGAGGAGGCCGGAUUUGGGUGGGAAGAGGCCGAGCUCAUUAGCCAUAGCGUAUGUAAAUACUGUCCAGCAGCACUGGGAACCCCUCAGCAGUGACAUCACACAUUGCAUGUUAACGAGACGAAGCGAGACCGUGGGACUCCACUGCACACUGUUGCCUAUCUACUUUGUACAUUGAAUUGAUAUUUGUGCUGAGGUGAUCUUACUGUCCGGGCCUGCAGCAUCGUCCGCCUUUGCCGCGCUGCCGGCGCGCCGGGGCUGCUCCCACAGCCUCGGAAAGACCGACGAUGCUGCAGCCAGAAACCUAUUAUGUAUUGGUACGUCUGUAGACCAAGAUAUAAUUUUUUAAAGUAAGUUUAUUUCUUUCAAGGUUUACAAAUAACAAAGGUGCACCUUGUAUUUAAAAUUGCCAUUAUAGACGAGAGCGUGCAUGCACAGUAAUUUUUGUUUAAGAGUAAUAUUUUUAAUGUAAUAGAUUGUAAGAAAUGAGAAGAGAGGAAUCUGACAGAGAUGAAUGUGCCAAGCAAAACCACAACUGUGUAUAUUUUAAAGCACAUCAAUGGCUUUAAGUACCACGUUGUUAAGGAUUCUCAUGAAGUGCCAUAGACUGUACAUCCAUCAGAGUAUUAUUUCCGCAGUGUUAUUUUCAGAACCACGUUUUCACUGACUUGAUGAGUACUGAUCAGUCAAAGGGCACCAUUCUGUUUCAAACCAAAGCUGUCUCAGAAAUGGCCAAUUGCUCCUCACAGCCAGUGGGCAGCACCAGAGAGAUGCUCCAGCUGUGCACAACCCUUCUGGACAAUAUUAUCUGUAAACUCUCCCAAGGCGUUGUAUGUCAUAUUUAUGCAUAGUUACUGUAUAAGGUGAUCUACAAAGGGAAAAGCCAUUUCUGAGACACAGUAACAAAUGUUUGAGGAACUUCUUUUGCUCUAUUUAUAGCCUCUGUCUCGAGUCACAAGGACUAUAAAUGUUUUGCAGAGAUGGGUUUCACUUUAAUUCAUCAAGUCCCGCGUCCGCGGCGACUCUAAACAAAGACGCAGAAGCACUGACAGCAGAUGCAUGACAAACCAAAAUAGGACAAAUGAGACGUUAAUUAGUGUAGAAAUUGGGUGGGUUAAUACUCGGGUGAGUUUUAUAUGUGAUUUUUCUUUUUUUGUUCAGAUUAACUGCUUAUAGCCUUAGAAAGCCUUUACAAAAUACAAACAAACAAAUAGAUGUGCAUUCAAGUUCUAAGAAUGGAUUCAUCCAAAGGAAUUCCUUUUUGUGGUUUGGAUGUUGCAGCCAGUAAAGGAUAUUUUUGCUCUGUUCAGCCAGGGGCUGCCUGGGGCCAGGCCCCGGGUGGGCAGGGAGGGAGAGGCGCGGGUUCGGUUGUAGAACUCGCCAUACUCCGAGUUUACUGCGAGUUUUUAUGCUUGAGAGAGAUGCUUUAUAGAUAAGAAUGAUGUGUUGAUUUUCCUGAUUGUACUGUACAUCUAUUAAAGCCUUAGAUUAUUACAUUACGGGUUAAAACCCAUACCAAUGUAAUUUCAAUCGUGUUAAGAAAGUAUAGGUGACUUCACAUGUUAUUGUAGUGACUUACCAUAGAGAAUUUACUUAUUUUUUCUUGUUAAAAGUGUAGUUUUUAUUUCUUACAUUUAUUAGCUCGUUUUCAUUUUCUAUUACCAGUUGAUACCAUUUCAGUUCAUAGAAUUUUGUUUUAUUAGAAUUUACUGGUGACUUUUUCAAAAUACAAAAAAAAAAAAAGUAGUUUUCUUCAUAACAUACUCAGUUUGGAAUCUAUAUGUAGUGUCUUAUGAGUAUUCGUAUUAUUGUUAACUAAAUGAUUUCUAUUUUACUGAUCUAAUACAACAAUGUAAGAAUGUCAGUCAUUGUUAGUUCUUGUCUAGUUUUCAUUCAAAGAACAAAGAUCUUUUAUAUGGAUAUCUUAUAAUUAUAUAAUCAUUGCUAAGUAAGAAGUUAAGUUGUUGCUAUGGCAACAAUCCUGGCAGACAAUUGAGUAAUAUUUUGAUGAUUUAUUUUGUUUGUAAUUAGUUAUUAUGAGAAAAAAAAAUCUAGUUCCUAGAUAUUAGAAUAAAAUUUAUUUUCUACUGUAUCCAUUUCAAAUGUUAAAAUAUUGUUUAAAUAUUUUUUGAAAUCCCUGAAUAUCAGGCCUUGUUAUAAAUAAGCUGCAUAAUCAAUAGAUCAAGGGACUUUUUGUUGAUAAUCCAAAUACUCAAAGUUUACGUAACAAGAAUUCUAGUGUGUGUGUGCAAACUCUUGAGGGUUGAUUAUGCUGCAGUUGGGACGUCGAGAGCGAAGGUUGACUUUUUGCACUUCUGUAUAUAGUCAAAAAAGAGAGAAACCUGUAUAAUAGUAAGAUCUUAUUUUGAAUAAAAAUGUCUAUAAUUACAAGGAGUUUUGUUAAGGCUAAAUAAAAUGACAGGCUGAACAAAAUUGCUUGCAAAAGUGGCACAGAGUUAGCACUCCAUCCCCCUUCCAAAAAGUUGCUUUGCUUUAUGUGGACAGCUUGUAGUUUGCCAGGAUUUUUUCAGCUGGAAAGAUCUGCCAUCCUUCCGAGAUCUCAUGACUGACAGAAGCUCCACUGGGUCAAAUCUGCCUGAAAAUCAUUAAGAAACAAAAAAAGGAAAAAAAAAAAAAAAAACCAAAAAAAAAAAAGCAGGUACUUCAGCCCAUCCAGGGAAUCAUGGCUCAGAUAUUCCGUACAUUAUUCAAAAUCUACUGCAUGUUUAAAGUAUCAAAAUAUAUUAAAGAUAUAUGCUAUUCAAACCAGUUUCUGACAAUUUCAGUGGUUUCUUGUUCACAAAAAAAGAUUCUUCAAAACAAAUACUGACAUUCACAGAGUUCAACCAUGGACAGGCAAACGGAACAGCACCCGUAGCUGUAGGUAGGGGAUUCUUUUCUCGCUGUAGUGGUCCUGUUCUUUUAGCAGGUGAGAAACAACCUGGGAGAUCUUCCCUUUUCACGGAAAGCGCUGCAGGAGCCCGGCCAUCCAAAGCUGGGAGCAGGCGUGGGGCUGGGAGCUGACACCAAUCAGUAAUUAAUGAAUUAACGAGCUGCGCUCGGCAGCCCCCGGCUCAUCUGCUGGAAGGACGGGCGCGCUUGGGUUUGCUCUUACGUAACCACAGACUUACUUUGCUUGUAGUUGCUCCAGUUACGUACUCUGUCCUGGGCUGCAAUUUGGGUUUAUGCUUAUUUUAUUAUUACUGCUAUAGUUGACCUUGCUGUAUGGAAAAAAUAAAGUGAAAUUGCCCUAA